This 69-nucleotide transfer RNA is filed under the name Axianassa australis. RNAcentral describes it as "tRNA-Gln". It matches the Rfam family "tRNA". Rfam says of the family: Transfer RNA (tRNA) molecules are approximately 80 nucleotides in length. Their secondary structure includes four short double-helical elements and three loops (D, anti-codon, and T loops). The record is from RNAcentral. Lineage: Eukaryota; Metazoa; Arthropoda; Malacostraca; Decapoda; Axianassidae.
UAUAUUGUGGUGUAAAGGGCACAAAAAGUUUUGAUCUUUAGGGUAUUGGUGCAAGUCCAUUCUAUAUAG